This 1007-nucleotide ribosomal RNA is filed under the name Chapsa cf. pseudophlyctis Parnmen018492(RAMK). Its description in RNAcentral is "LSU rRNA". It matches the Rfam family "Eukaryotic large subunit ribosomal RNA", at positions 94 to 1125 of the family's 3401-position model. The record is from RNAcentral. Lineage: Eukaryota; Fungi; Ascomycota; Lecanoromycetes; Ostropales; Graphidaceae.
UGAUGCGGAUGAAGCGCACCAGCUGGCUUUUUUAAAGUCCGAAUUGUAAUUUGGAGAAGGUGUUUCGGACAUGAUAAUGGUUCAAGUUCGUUGGAAAACGACGUCAUAGAGGGUGACAAUCCCGUCUGCGGCUAAAUUAUCUGUCCAUGUGAAACCCUUUCGAUGAGUCGAGUUGUUUGGGAAUGCAGCUCAAAAUGGGUGGUAAAUUUCAUCUAAAGCUAAAUAUUAGCCAGAGACCGAUAGCGCACAAGUAGAGUGAUCGAAAGAUGAAAAGCACUUUGAAAAGAGAGUUAAACAGCACGUGAAAUUGUUGAAAGGGAAGCGCUUGCAACUAGACUUGUUUGCAGUAUUCAGCCUCUUGAAAAAGUGGUGUACUUGCUGUAUUUUACAGGCCAACAUCGGUUUUGACGGUUGGAUAAAGGCUCAAGGAAAGUAGCUUUCAUUCGUGGAAGUGUUAUAGUCUGAGUGUAAUGCAUACCAGUUGAGACCGAGGAAUGCGCUUCGUGCGAGGAUGUUGGCGUAAUGGUUGUCAGCGACCCGUCUUGAAACACGGACCAAGGAGUCGACCAAUAUAGCGAGAAUUAGGGUCUAAAACCCUUAUUCGCAAUGAAAGUGAAUGUAGGUGGGAGCUUCUUUUGAAGCGCACCAUCGACCGAUCUGAGUUCGCGAGGAUUUGAGUAUGAGUUAUGUUGGUCGGACCCGAAAGAAGGUGAACUAUUCCUGACUAGGCUGAAGUCAGAGGAAACUCUGAUGGAGGGCCGCAGCGGUUCUGACGUGCAAAUCGAUCGUCAAAGCUGGGAAUAGGGGCGAAAGACUAAUCGAACCUUCUAGUAGCUGGUUCCUGUCGAAGUUUCCCUCAGGAUAGCAGUAACGAAAUACAGUCUCAUGAGGUAGAGCAACGAUUAGAGGCCUGGGGGCAGAAACUGCCUUCACCUAUUCUCGAACUCCGAAUAUGUGAGAAGUCCUUGUUACUUAAUGAACGUGGACAUUGGAUUACGUACUUACUC